GGUGAACGCUGGCGGCGUGCCUAAUACAUGCAAGUCGAGCGAACGAACGAGAAGCUUGCUCUUCUUAUAUUAGCGGCGGACGGGUGAGUAACACGUUGAUAACCUACCUAUAAGACUGGGAUAACUUCGGGAAACCGGAGCUAAUACCGGAUAAUAUUUUGAACCGCAUGUUUCAAAAGUGAAAGACGGUCUUGCUGUCACUUAUAGAUGGAUCCGCGCUGCAUUAGCUAGUUGGUAAGGUAACGGCUUACCAAGGCAACGAUCCAUAGCCGACCUGAGAGGGUGAUCGGCCACACUGGAACUGAGACACGGUCCAGACUCCUACGGGAGGCAGAAGUAGGGAAUCUUCCGCAAGGGGCGAACGCCUGACGAAGAAACGCCGCGUGAGUGAUGAAGGUCUUCGGAUCGUAAAACUCUGUUAUUAGGGAAAAACAUAUGUGUAAGUAACUGUGCACAUCUUGACGGUACCUAAUCAGAAAGCCACGGCUAACUACGUG
This 497-nucleotide ribosomal RNA is filed under the name uncultured bacterium. RNAcentral describes it as "partial 16S ribosomal RNA". It matches the Rfam family "Bacterial small subunit ribosomal RNA", at positions 28 to 507 of the family's 1533-position model. The record is from RNAcentral.